AUUGAACGCUGGCGGCAUGCCUUACACAUGCAAGUCGAACGGCAGCACGGGAGCAAUCCUGGUGGCGAGUGGCGAACGGGUGAGUAAUAUAUCGGAACGUGCCCAGUCGUGGGGGAUAACGUAGCGAAAGCUACGCUAAUACCGCAUACGAUCUAUGGAUGAAAGCGGGGGAUCGCAAGACCUCGCGCGAUUGGAGCGGCCGAUAUCAGAUUAGGUAGUUGGUGAGGUAAAGGCUCACCAAGCCGACGAUCUGUAGCUGGUCUGAGAGGACGACCAGCCACACUGGGACUGAGACACGGCCCAGACUCCUACGGGAGGCAGCAGUGGGGAAUAUUGGACAAUGGGCGAAAGCCUGAUCCAGCAAUGCCGCGUGAGUGAUGAAGGCCUAGGUUGUAAGCUCUUUUACCCGGGAUGAUAAUGACAGUACCGGGAGAAUAAGCU
This 441-nucleotide ribosomal RNA is filed under the name uncultured bacterium. RNAcentral's name for it is "bacterial SSU rRNA". It matches the Rfam family "Bacterial small subunit ribosomal RNA", at positions 30 to 492 of the family's 1533-position model. The record is from RNAcentral.